This 474-nucleotide ribosomal RNA is filed under the name uncultured bacterium. RNAcentral describes it as "SSU rRNA". It matches the Rfam family "Bacterial small subunit ribosomal RNA", at positions 26 to 518 of the family's 1533-position model. The record is from RNAcentral.
AGGACGAACGCUGGCGGCGUGCUUAACACAUGCAAGUCGAGCGGAAAGGCCCUUCGGGGUACUCGAGCGGCGAACGGGUGAGUAACACGUGAGUAAUCUGCCCCUAGCUCUGGGAUAGCUCCGGGAAACCGGGAUUAAUACCGGAUACGACCACCUUAGACAUCUUUUGUGGUGGAAAGAAUUUCGGCUAGGGAUGAGCUCGCGGCCUAUCAGCUUGUUGGUGGGGUAACGGCCUACCAAGGCGACGACGGGUAGCCGGCCCUGAGAGGGCGACCGGCCACACUGGGACUGAGACACGGCCCAGACUCCUACGGGAGGCAGCAGUGGGAAUAUUGCGCAAUGGGCGAAAGCCUGACGCAGCGACGCCGCGUGGGGGAUGAAGGCCUUCGGGUUGUAAACCCCUUUCAGCAGUGACGAAGCGAAAGUGACGGUACCUGCAGAAGAAGCGCCGGCUAACUACGCGCCAGCAGCCUC